RNAcentral lists this ribosomal RNA (253 nucleotides) under uncultured bacterium. Its description in RNAcentral is "partial 16S ribosomal RNA". It matches the Rfam family "Bacterial small subunit ribosomal RNA", at positions 524 to 776 of the family's 1533-position model. The record is from RNAcentral.
GACGGAGGGGGCUAGCGUUGUUCGGAAUUACUGGGCGUAAAGAGUGCGUAGGCGGUUUGGUAAGUUGGAAGUGAAAGCCUAGGGCUUAACCUUAGAAUUGCUUUCAAAACUGCUAGACUAGAGUGUGAUAGGGGGUGAUGGAAUUCCUAGUGUAGAGGUGAAAUUCUUAGAUAUUAGGAGGAACACCGGUGGCGAAGGCGGUCACCUGGGUCACAACUGACGCUGAUGCACGAAAGCGUGGGGAGCAAACAGG